GACGAACGCUGGCGGCGUGCCUAAUACAUGCAAGUUUAGCGCUUAAGGUUGGUACUUGUUGCACCUGGAUGAGCAGCGGACGGGUGAGUAACGCGUGGGGACUCUGUCUUUGAGCGGGGGACAACCUUUUGAAACGAAUGCUAAUACCGCAUAAAAACUUUAAACCCCAUCUAUAAGAUUGAAAGAUGCGAGUGCAUCACUUCAUUACGAUCAAGCGUUUUAUUAGUUAGUUGGUGAGGGAAAUGCUCACCAAGGCGAUGAUACAUAGCCGACCUGAGAGGGUGAUCGGCCACAUUGGGACUGAGACACGGCCCAAACUCCUACGGGAGGCAGCAGUAGGGAAUCUUCGGCAAUGGACGAAAGUCUGACCGAGCAACGCCGCGUGAGGGAAGAAGGUUUUCGGAUCGUAAAACUCUGUUGGUAGAGAAGAACGUUGGUGAGAGUGGAAAGCUCAUCAAGUGACGGUAACUACCCAGAAAGGGACGGCUAACUACGUG
Molecule: ribosomal RNA, 497 nt
Filed under: uncultured bacterium
Lineage: Bacteria
Description: partial 16S ribosomal RNA
Rfam family: Bacterial small subunit ribosomal RNA
Source: RNAcentral